Molecule: ribosomal RNA, 1552 nt
Filed under: Salmonella enterica subsp. enterica
Lineage: Bacteria; Pseudomonadati; Pseudomonadota; Gammaproteobacteria; Enterobacterales; Enterobacteriaceae
Also listed under: 1 other name
Description: bacterial SSU rRNA
Rfam family: Bacterial small subunit ribosomal RNA
Source: RNAcentral
AAAUUGAAGAGUUUGAUCAUGGCUCAGAUUGAACGCUGGCGGCAGGCCUAACACAUGCAAGUCGAACGGUAACAGAAAGCAGCUUGCUGCUUUGCUGACGAGUGGCGGACGGGUGAGUAAUGUCUGGGAAACUGCCUGAUGGAGGGGGAUAACUACUGGAAACGGUGGCUAAUACCGCAUAACGUCGCAAGACCAAAGAGGGGGACCUUCGGGCCUCUUGCCAUCAGAUGUGCCCAGAUGGGAUUAGCUUGUUGGUGAGGUAACGGCUCACCAAGGCGACGAUCCCUAGCUGGUCUGAGAGGAUGACCAGCCACACUGGAACUGAGACACGGUCCAGACUCCUACGGGAGGCAGCAGUGGGGAAUAUUGCACAAUGGGCGCAAGCCUGAUGCAGCCAUGCCGCGUGUAUGAAGAAGGCCUUCGGGUUGUAAAGUACUUUCAGCGGGGAGGAAGGUGUUGUGGUUAAUAACCGCAGCAAUUGACGUUACCCGCAGAAGAAGCACCGGCUAACUCCGUGCCAGCAGCCGCGGUAAUACGGAGGGUGCAAGCGUUAAUCGGAAUUACUGGGCGUAAAGCGCACGCAGGCGGUCUGUCAAGUCGGAUGUGAAAUCCCCGGGCUCAACCUGGGAACUGCAUUCGAAACUGGCAGGCUUGAGUCUUGUAGAGGGGGGUAGAAUUCCAGGUGUAGCGGUGAAAUGCGUAGAGAUCUGGAGGAAUACCGGUGGCGAAGGCGGCCCCCUGGACAAAGACUGACGCUCAGGUGCGAAAGCGUGGGGAGCAAACAGGAUUAGAUACCCUGGUAGUCCACGCCGUAAACGAUGUCUACUUGGAGGUUGUGCCCUUGAGGCGUGGCUUCCGGAGCUAACGCGUUAAGUAGACCGCCUGGGGAGUACGGCCGCAAGGUUAAAACUCAAAUGAAUUGACGGGGGCCCGCACAAGCGGUGGAGCAUGUGGUUUAAUUCGAUGCAACGCGAAGAACCUUACCUGGUCUUGACAUCCACGGAAGAAUUCAGAGAUGGAUUUGUGCCUUCGGGAACCGUGAGACAGGUGCUGCAUGGCUGUCGUCAGCUCGUGUUGUGAAAUGUUGGGUUAAGUCCCGCAACGAGCGCAACCCUUAUCCUUUGUUGCCAGCGAUUAGGUCGGGAACUCAAAGGAGACUGCCAGUGAUAAACUGGAGGAAGGUGGGGAUGACGUCAAGUCAUCAUGGCCCUUACGACCAGGGCUACACACGUGCUACAAUGGCGCAUACAAAGAGAAGCGACCUCGCGAGAGCAAGCGGACCUCAUAAAGUGCGUCGUAGUCCGGAUUGGAGUCUGCAACUCGACUCCAUGAAGUCGGAAUCGCUAGUAAUCGUGGAUCAGAAUGCCACGGUGAAUACGUUCCCGGGCCUUGUACACACCGCCCGUCACACCAUGGGAGUGGGUUGCAAAAGAAGUAGGUAGCUUAACCUUCGGGAGGGCGCUUACCACUUUGUGAUUCAUGACUGGGGUGAAGUCGUAACAAGGUAACCGUAGGGGAACCUGCGGUUGGAUCACCUCCUUACCUUAAAGAA